Molecule: ribosomal RNA, 433 nt
Filed under: uncultured bacterium
Lineage: Bacteria
Description: bacterial SSU rRNA
Rfam family: Bacterial small subunit ribosomal RNA
Source: RNAcentral
AACGAACGCUGGCGGCAUGCCUAACACAUGCAAGUCGAACGAAGGCUUCGGCCUUAGUGGCGCACGGGUGCGUAACGCGUGGGAACCUGCCCCUCGGUUCGGAAUAACAGUUAGAAAUGACUGCUAAUACCGGAUGAUGACUUCGGUCCAAAGACUUAUCGCCGAGGGAUGGGCCCGCGUAGGAUUAGCUAGUUGGUGGGGUAAAGGCCUACCAAGGCGACGAUCCUUAGCUGGUCUGAGAGGAUGAUCAGCCACACUGGGACUGAGACACGGCCCAGACUCCUACGGGAGGCAGCAGUGGGGAAUAUUGGACAAUGGGCGAAAGCCUGAUCCAGCAAUGCCGCGUGAGUGAUGAAGGCCUUAGGGUUGUAAAGCUCUUUUACCAGGGAUGAUAAUGACAGUACCUGGAGAAUAAGCUCCGGCUAACUCCGUG